AUUGAACGCUGGCGGCAUGCCUUACACAUGCAAGUCGAACGGUAACAGGUCUUCGGAUGCUGACGAGUGGCGAACGGGUGAGUAAUACAUCGGAACGUGCCCAGACGUGGGGGAUAACGAGGCGAAAGCUUUGCUAAUACCGCAUACGAUCUAAGGAUGAAAGCAGGGGACCGCAAGGCCUUGUGCGUUUGGAGCGGCCGAUGGCAGAUUAGGUAGUUGGUGGGAUAAAAGCUUACCAAGCCGACGAUCUGUAGCUGGUCUGAGAGGACGACCAGCCACACUGGGACUGAGACACGGCCCAGACUCCUACGGGAGGUAGCAGUGGGGAAUUUUGGACAAUGGGCGAAAGCCUGAUCCAGCAAUGCCGCGUGCAGGAUGAAGGCCUUCGGGUUGUAAACUGCUUUUGUACGGAACGAAAAGGCUCUGGCUAAUACCUGGGGCACAUGACGGUACCGUAAGAAUAAGCACCGGCUAACUACGUG
This 482-nucleotide ribosomal RNA is filed under the name uncultured bacterium. Its description in RNAcentral is "partial 16S ribosomal RNA". It matches the Rfam family "Bacterial small subunit ribosomal RNA", at positions 30 to 507 of the family's 1533-position model. The record is from RNAcentral.